This is a long non-coding RNA of Sitophilus oryzae (rice weevil), 569 nucleotides long. RefSeq lists it as uncharacterized. The record is from RefSeq and is a predicted model, not a curated record. NCBI's taxonomy places the organism in Eukaryota, Metazoa, Arthropoda, Insecta, Coleoptera, Curculionidae. The transcript has 3 exons.
AAUCCAACGGCAAAGGUUGUACCCUAAAUGGACCGAACUGAAGUUCCCAGAAGUGAUUUACGGUGUUCCACAGCCGAUCAACGAAAUCGAUAUACCCAUCGAGUUGAAGUCUGGCACCAAAUGCGUUGGUACCACUGCAUGUAUGGGCAACGUCCAAGCGAGGGCCUGCGUCAUCACACACUUGGAUGAAAUUGGCCAGUUACAAAAAGGUGAUAUACUGAUACAUACUCUACAGAUAUUGGUUGGUCUCCAUAUUUUCCCAUGCUAUCUGGUGUUGUUACUGAAUUAGGUGGGCUAGUAUCACACGGUGCUGUCGUGGCCAGAGAAUACGGACUACCCUGUAUAGUGGGAGUGAAAAACCUUACGAAAAUGUUUAAAACCGGCGAUAUCGUGUUUUUGAAUGGAAAAACUGGAGAAUUGGGAAAAGUAGAAGAACAGUAUUAAAAGUUACAUUUUAUUUGUAAUGUUUGCAACAAGCUUGUGAUAUUUUUUAAACUUAUUAAAUAUUGUAUAUGACUUGUUUUAUAUUAUUGAGAUUGUUUAAUAAACCUACGUUACGUUAAAAUAUA